GAUGAAGAACGUAGCGAAAUGCGAUAAGUAAUGUGAAUUGCAGAAUUCAGUGAAUCAUCGAAUCUUUGAACGCAUCUUGCGCUCCUUGGUAUUCUGAGGAGCAUGCCUGUUUGAGUGUCAUUAAAUUCUCAACCGCACUGACUUUGAAUUGGUGUGGCUUGGAUUUGGGGGGAAAAUUGUUGUGGGCUUUUUUGUAUAGUCUGCUCCCCUGAAAUUGAUUAGCGGUACCUUUGUGGAACUGUCUACAGGUGUGAUAAUUAUCUACGUCCUAGACAUCUGCUGGAAUGCUGCUUUCUAAACCUUACUUGUAUUGACAAUCUUGACCUCAAAUCAGGUAGGACUACCCGCUGAACUUAAGCAUAUCAAUAAGCGGAGGA
This 377-nucleotide unclassified non-coding RNA is filed under the name soil metagenome. RNAcentral's name for it is "partial contains 5.8S ribosomal RNA, internal transcribed spacer 2, and large subunit ribosomal RNA". The stretch from base 1 to 120 matches the Rfam family "5.8S ribosomal RNA", at positions 35 to 154 of the family's 154-position model. The record is from RNAcentral.